GUUUAUUGUUGAUCCCCAUGAAACACAGGUGUUAGCAAACUAAGAAAACAACUGAAACCACCAAAAAACAAGAGGAGCCUGAUGUUACACGUUUGAGAAGAGAAAGAGACAUGUAUCCCUUACUCUCUUCCUUAUUAGGUUUGGAAUUGAAAUUAGGAACUUUUUUAGGCUGCAUCUUUAAUUCUUUUCUUAAAUCUUUUAUGCUAUUUUUCAUGUUUGUUGAUUAUAAUUAAAAUUUUAAAAAAUAUGUUCAGUUUUUUAGGACUGGCAACGGCAACAGUCCACGAGGUCAUUAUCCAAUUGAAGGAUUUAGAUUUAUUCUUGUUUUCGCUAUAGGGACUUAGAGUGUAGUCAGUCACACAAUUUUAUUCUUAAUGAUAUCUGCCAUUAGAAAAGCACUUGGAGUAACGAGAGCAGGUGAAAGUGAUACCACUCAAUUUGCAGUUUGCAUUUCACUGAGUGGAAGUGUAAAAGCCAGAAAAUUAUUUAUCAACACCCACAUAUUAAUUUGAAGUAUCGUUUGUAUUAGGAUUCUAUCCAUUAUUUUCAGCUUUUAUUUUUUGGCUGGAGCUUUGCCAAGAAGUUGUUUGGAGCUGAUUAUUAGAAUAUUUAAAAAGAAAAAAAUUAAUGCUUCAUAAUCUCUAUUUAGCAUUUAUUUUGCUGUUUCUUUUAGGUUCUGGGAUAGAAAGAAUUAGAAUGCAUUUUUAUUUCAAUUUUAAAGUUUCAAAUUUUGUGUCGAUCUGAGAAAAUCUUUAUGAUAAUUUCCUUUAUAUAUGAGAAGCCCUCUAAUCUGCUGUGAAUGAAACCAUAGUUAAUGGAGGUGUAACCUUUUUGUCCUCGAAUUCUUGUGAAUGAGAUGAAAAAUUUAAGGAGCUGUUAGAGAAUGCAUAGAAGAUGCAUGAUACAGCUUUGGCUAUGUAUUGGAGUAAUUACAUACUUUGUUGUGGUUAUGAUUUUGGAAGCUACUGUUAAAAGAGAUGAUAAUAUGUACAACAGGGAGGCAAAAUGAAGAAAAAGCCAAGCAAUACUUUAUACGUUUGAAGAAACUAACAACAUAGCUAAGUAAUGGCAGCUCUACUUACCAUCAAUUAGCAACACAAAUAGUGUGACAUAAAGUUUUCACUUCUCUGGAAUUUACUAUUGGUAAACUACAGGUAAGUUAGAUUUGUUGUUACGCAAGUUACUCCUUGGUCGAAAAAUAAAAAUACGCCAUGAUAUAUCACAUGUAAUGACGUUGAGAUUGCUUUGUGCAAUAUUUAUGCAUCUUGAGCUACUUAUCUUGGAUGAUUCGUUAUUAUGUCAUUCAUAUGCUUGGUUGAAACAGAGCAGGAGGUAGCACUUGAGGGCUUUGCCGGAGUAGUUCGUAUGGAACCUGAGAAGGCUGAGUGGUAAGGGGUUUAUUAAGUUAAUAAACUCCUUAUCAAAAAAAGUAUGAUAGCUGUGUGGCUGCGAUUAUGAUCUUAGAGGUACUUCCAUAGGUACUCUAACUGUCCUCGGUAAUCUCGAACUCCACCUUCUCGAUUUUGACGGAGAAAAAACGCAAGCCCUCAGUUAGAGUAAAUGGAGAUCACAAGCGUCAGGCUUAAGAGGUGGAAAGAGAGUGUUGAAGAAGAAUAAGAGGACUGUACGUCCAGCUUUUAAACUCAAGGACACAAGGGGAAUUUCUUGCCGAUAAUUCAGGGGGAUGUCCAGUUUUGGUGGCUUAACAUGCAAUCAUAUA
Nicotiana tabacum (common tobacco) is the source of this 1720-nucleotide non-coding RNA. Lineage: Eukaryota; Viridiplantae; Streptophyta; Magnoliopsida; Solanales; Solanaceae. The record is from RefSeq and is a predicted model, not a curated record.